CCGCUGUAGAGCCCGCAGGAUGCGCACCACGGGCAGGGGCUCGAUGGGACCGCAGACCGUCAGGUCCCGGCGAGGCGCCAGAAGCAACCGAGCCGCGAGCGACAACAGCCGCAGCCGCCGUGCGAGAGCCAUACUCCGCUUGCUGCGGGAGAGGCGCACGACAGUGACGUCACAGGCGCGCCAAGGCCUCGCGGACGGUGGCCGGCGCGGCUCAGUAAGGCCCGCGGACUCGGCGAACUGUGUGGAAGGAGCGGGAUCUGUAGAGCUCAGCAGCGGCGAGGUACAAAACAAAGAAUCGCUUUGCACAAAGCCAGAAGGGAUACACUGAAAGGAUGAUCAGAAAAGAAUAAUACAUAGGUACAAAACAAAGAAUCGCUUUGCACAAAGCCAGAAGGGAUACACUGAAAGGAUGAUCAGAAAAGAAUAAUACAUAGGUACAAAACAAAGAAUCGCUUUGCACAAAGCCAGAAGGGAUACACUGAAAGGAUGAUCAGAAAAGAAUAAUACAUAGCAGGCCCACCGCUAGGCCUCUCACCUGAAAAGUCCAGAAUCGGGAAGACACAGGCUGUAUCAGUUGCCCUGCGGCCUUAUUCACAAUAGCCAAGAUGGUGAAGCAACCCAAAUGUCCAUCAACAGGUGAAUGGAUAAAGAAGAAGAGGUCCAUGUACACAAUGGAAUAUUCACCAUGGAGAACAAUGAAUUACUGCUCUUUGAGGCACCACAGAUGAGCCUAGAGAUAAUCAUGGAACAUGAGAAACAAAAACGGCUUGGAAAAAUGAUGAAUUUUGGGUAUUUGUAAAGACACGCAAACCCAAAUUACAAAAACCUAUCAGCUCACAGCAGUCAGAAUGGCCAUUAGCAAAAAUGCUGCAAGCAAUAAAUGCUGAAGUGAUCGUGGGGAAGUGCGUACCCUCCGUUCUAGGGGGGAUGUGGUAAGGGCCACUAAUGAAAACACAAUGGAGGUGCUUUGAAAAGGGAAACAUUGCGCUACCAGGCAAUCAGUCAUACCCACUGCUGGACCUGUCACCUGAGAAAAUGAGAAUCAAAACCUCACAGACUGGCAAUUCUGCACUCCAGCAAUACUUACCAUAGCCAACACUUGGAAGCACCGAAAAUGUCCAUCAACAGAGGAGUGCACCAAGCAGCAGUGGUCCAUGUACACAAUGGAAUAUUACUCCAAUAAAAAGUUUAAAUUAAAUUUAAAAACAAACAUAAGUAAGGAGACGUAAGCAUUUGGGGGUUUAUCUGGGCACAUUCCUCUCUAAUUUAUAACCGAGGAACACCACUGGCAGGAAGGUCUGUUUCCCUAGUACCAGCGUGGGGAACUUAGAAAGGCUGCCACCCUCUGGCCGUUACCUGCAAAAGCAGCUUUAAAGCCUGUGCUAAUGGUCACUUCAUGUGAACAAGUACUGCAGGGCUGUAAAUGAAACCUGCCUUCAAAAUGUCUUGAGGGAGGUAAUGGCCAAAAAAUUUCAAAAUGUGACACAUACUUUAAGAAAACACUUUGAAGAGCUAAGCUGUAAUCACAGUUUGAAAAUUAAGAAGGACAUGCCUUAAAGCUUAAUGUCAAGGGAUUAUGAGACACGGAAAUUCAACCACAAAGAGGUAUCAGUUCACACCCCUCAGAAUAACCUUCAGCACGAAACCCAUAAUAAAUAAAUGCUGGGGCUUCCCUGGUGGCGCAGUGGUUGAGAGUCCACCUGCGAUGCAGGGGACGCGGGUUCGUACUCCGUUCUGGGAAGAUCCCACAUGCCGCGGGUGCCUGUGCUCCGCAACAGGAGAGGCCACAACAGUGAGAGGCCCGUGUACCGCAAAACAAACAAACGAAAAUAAAUGAAUGAAUGAAUGCAUGCAUGCAUGCAUGCUGAAGGUGUUGUGGAGAAAUGCAUACCCUGAACUUUCAGUGGGAUGUACCCUGGAAAGAGCCACUAAUGAGAACAGAAUGGAGAUGCCUUUAAAAGGUACACAUUGAACUACAAUAUCAUUCAGCAGUCCCAUUCCUGGACCUAUAACCAAAGAAGACAGAAUUGGAAAGGCACAGGAAGGCAAAUGUGCACUGCACAGUAUUACAAUAGCCAAGAUAUGGAAGUAACCAAAAAGUCCAGCAACAGAUGAGUGGACAAAAAAGAACUGGUACCAGUACAGACAAAAUAUUAGCCAAGGAAAAAAGGGACACAUUGCCCUGUGCAGCACCGUAGAUGAUUCUAGAUGUAAUCACACAACCUGGAGUAAGUCAGAAAGAGAAAGACACAUAUCGUAUGAUAUCACUUAUAGGUGUUACCUAAAAAUUGAUACCAGUGAAGAUAUUCCCACAGAGAAGGGCUAUCAGAGAUUCAUUAAACAAAUUUAUGGUUCACCAAUGGAAAGGUGUGAGGAUUGGAUACAUUAGGAUAUUGGGGUUAACAGACGUAUACAAACACAGGUGAAAUAUAUAAUCACCAAAGACCUACGGAAUACCAAGAGAAGACUAUUCAACAUUCUGUCAUAACGUACAUGGGAUAAGGAUCCCAGGAAGAACAGACAUAUGUAUAUGUGUAAAAGAACCACAUCUUGCACACCUAGAACAAGCCAAACGUUGUAAUCAAACUUGCAGUAAUAAAAAAUAAAAAAUUAAAUUAAAAAAAGAACAAGAAAUAGUGAGACAAACUUGAGGGGCUUUCUCCUGGCACAUUCCAUUCUAAAUUACAAUCUAGAACACGACUUCCAUUGAGGCUCUGCUGCCCUAGUAACCAGAUUUGGUAAGCGAGAACUGCUGCCACCUUGUGGCCGUUUCACACAACAGCAGCUUUAAUCCCAGCGCUAAUGGUCAGUUGAUAUUCCAAAUAAUUGCAGGCCUGUAAAUGACACCUGCCCUGAAAACAAAUCCUGGGGUCAUAUAUCGACCAAAAAAUUCAAAAGACGUCCAUAUUUCAAAACGACAGUUUCAAGAGGCAUAA
Molecule: long non-coding RNA, 2936 nt
Organism: Mesoplodon densirostris (Blainville's beaked whale)
Lineage: Eukaryota; Metazoa; Chordata; Mammalia; Artiodactyla; Ziphiidae
Exons: 6
Source: RefSeq, a predicted model, not a curated record